This 163-nucleotide ribosomal RNA is filed under the name uncultured bacterium. Its description in RNAcentral is "partial 16S rRNA". It matches the Rfam family "Bacterial small subunit ribosomal RNA", at positions 355 to 511 of the family's 1533-position model. The record is from RNAcentral.
UAGGGAAUCUUCCACAAUGGGCGAAAGCCUGAUGGAGCAACGCCGCGUGUGUGAUGAAGGGUUCGGCUCGUAAAACACUGUUGUAAGAGAAGAAUGACAUUGAGAGUAACUGUUCAAUGUGUGACGGUAUCUUACCAGAAAGGAACGGCUAAAUACGUGCCAC